This 180-nucleotide ribosomal RNA is filed under the name uncultured Glomeromycotina. Its description in RNAcentral is "partial small subunit ribosomal RNA". The stretch from base 93 to 180 matches the Rfam family "Eukaryotic small subunit ribosomal RNA", at positions 738 to 828 of the family's 1831-position model. The record is from RNAcentral. Lineage: Eukaryota; Fungi; Glomeromycota.
GGUCUGGCUGGGCGGUCCGCCGAAUCGGUGAGUACUGCUUCAGCUGGACCUUUCCUUCUGGGGAACCGGUGUGCUCUUUACUGGGCGUGCCGGGGAGCCAGGACAUUUACCUUGAAAAAAUUAGAGUGUUCAAAGCAGGCAUUUGCUCGAAUACAUUAGCAUGGAAUAAUAGAAUAGGAC